RNAcentral lists this long non-coding RNA (692 nucleotides) under Linum usitatissimum (flax). RNAcentral describes it as "long non-coding RNA (LUSI_LNC007311)". Lineage: Eukaryota; Viridiplantae; Streptophyta; Magnoliopsida; Malpighiales; Linaceae. The record is from RNAcentral.
UGCAGAUUCAGGUGGGUUCAUGUUCUAGCAGAUAGUUGCAAUAAAAUUCAAGCACACUGUCGACAAUAAAUACUUCUUAUUGACCGAGUUUGAAAGAAGGACUAGUGGUGGGACGAAUCCGCCUUCACUUGCCCCCUACGAACUCCACUUCCUAUCUCUCUGAAAGACAAACCAAAGACGGAAAAGGAAGACCAAUUCCUCCGCGAAAUUCCAGCAGAUGUUUGUUUUCUCGUUCCCGGAUGAAUCCGCUCGUCAAUUGUCUACUUUCUGAGCCGGACACGGCCUCUGGAUCAUUCGGAAAAAACAUAUAGAUGACAGGCCAAAUUCUGAUUAUGAGCCUAAGCAAAUUGAAUAAACAGCAAUAAUUGGAAUGUGGAGGAUGCAAUGCCGAUAACAAAAAACAGAAACUGAGAAACAGAGUUAAUACUUAAUAGGCACAAUUUUGGAUAAAAUAGACCGCUGAUCGACCGACAAUAGAGGUCAACAAACAUGAAAGACCAAAUUUUAAGUUCACCGCAGGAAUAAUUAAGCUUGCAGAAUUUUAUAUGGCAAUAACCAAACGUAAGUUUGAAAUAUCGACUGAUUGAACUCUAUUCGGUGUUUCCUUCCUUAGAGGUAUUAAUAUUUUAGUGCAAAGUACUAGGAAUCCGGAGCUUUACUGAAGAGUCAUGAAACGCACCUUGACAUAAUGC